UAUAUAUAUGGAUAUGUGACCUCAUCAAUGUAGAUAUUACCCUCAAAUAUGAUUUCCCUCAAAGAUUUCAACUCUAAAAGUUAAAUCAUCUCAAUAUCCCAUUACCUGGGGCCCCUCCUCCUUCUGGGUGAAGAAGGUAGAGGGUAAACCUCAGAGACCUCCUCCCAGAUCUUCCAUCUGAGGGGAAGGUCCUGGGUUAUAGGUACCAGAGAGCUUCUCUCUCAAACUUGUGCUCUUUUCAUCUUCUUUUUAACAUGCUAUCUUUCCUCAUUAGAUUAUGAGUUCCUUGAGGACAUGGACUAUCUUUUGCCUUUCUUUGUAUUCCUAGAGCUUAGCACAAAGUAAGUAUUUUAUAAAUGUUUAUUGACUGAAAAAUACAACUUAUAGUUGACCCAUGGCUGCCUGUUUGUGAGGCUUCCAUCAUAUGCCUUUCAUAUAUUGACUGCAGGGAGAAUGUCCAAUUUACUGGAAACUUUCCUUCGGGUCUUUUCACAAUGAGAUGGUGCCAAUACAAACCAUCUUCCAUAAGUGAAUAUUUAACAAAUAUUUGUUGAAUAGAAUUGAAUGAGUUACCCUUCAUAGUCUCCAUAAGACUGACUCUUUUACAUAAAAGAAGAUAAAAUCAAUUCUAGAAAUAUUAACUGGUCAAUUUUAAUCUGCUUGACCAGUGAAAGAGUUUACUGCUAUUUACAAUUUUUCUAAUGGUUUUAUUCCUUCUUCCAGUGCUCUACUUUGAUGGAAAUAGUUUACAGCAUCUGGAGGAAGAAGGAACUGGGAAAUCACUCUGUCUAACCCUAUCACUUUCAAGACAAGAAAACAUAGAUCCAGAGAAACUAGUCGAAGUUUGCACAGAAUGGAACCUUUGCCAUCAUGAGGAAGGAGGAGGAAAUGGAGAAAAGAAUGUUGUGACAGACUCUGUAUCAAUUCAUGUUCCAGGACAAGCUUUUCAAUAAAUGAAAAACAAGCAAACCAGAUGAAAGUACAGACAGAAGCAGCUGGCAUUUUUCUAUCUAUUUCUUCUUCAUUCCCUGUUCCUUUAAAAUAGUACAUGAGGAUAGAAUAUUAAAACAUUUUCCAAAAAUAUGUAUUUCAACAAGAUUCCUCUGCCAACUUUAACCUGCAGCUAAACUUUGAGGUGAAGAGGCCCAAAGAUACACAACUAAACCAACAGAAUGCUUAGGUAGACAAUAGUCUUCAUAUAAUCAUGGGCACCAAUUUGAUCUACACAUUCUCCAGCUUGGUAUAGUGUAAAGGUUGUAGUACAGGACCUGGAGUUGGGAGAAUUACUUUUGAACCCUACCUUAGACUCUUCCUAGCAUGAACAAGUGACUGGUCCCAAAGCCUCACUUUCCCCACUUGUAAAAUGAGAGAAAUGAUAAUCACACUGUCUAUCUCAUAG
This 1399-nucleotide long non-coding RNA is filed under the name Monodelphis domestica (gray short-tailed opossum). RNAcentral's name for it is "lncRNA (ENSMODG00000031431.2)". Lineage: Eukaryota; Metazoa; Chordata; Mammalia; Didelphimorphia; Didelphidae. The record is from RNAcentral.